CGAACGCUGGCGGCGUGCUUAACACAUGCAAGUUGAACGAGAAGUUUCCGCAUGAUUUUUUCGGAAUGAUUAUGGAGAUGGAAAGUAGCGAACGGGCGAGUAACGCGUGGGUAACCAACCUCAAACAGGGGGACAACAUCGGGAAACCGGUGCUAAUACCGCAUAUAUGCAGACAUGGCAUCAUGAUUGCAGGAAAGGCUUCGGCCGGUUUGAGACGGACCCGCGUCCAAUUAGCUAGUUGGUAGUGUAAUGGACUACCAAGGCGACGAUUGGUAGCCGGGCUGAGAGGCUGAACGGCCGCAUUGGGACUGAGACACGGCCCAGACUCCUACGGGAGGCAGCAGUGGGGAAUAUUGCACAAUGGGGGAAACCCUGAUGCAGCGACGCCGCGUGAAGGAUGAAGGUUUUCGGAUCGUAAACUUCUUUGAUCGGGGACGAAAUUUGACGGUACCCGAAGAACAAGCCACGGCUAACUAC
This 477-nucleotide ribosomal RNA is filed under the name uncultured bacterium. RNAcentral's name for it is "bacterial SSU rRNA". It matches the Rfam family "Bacterial small subunit ribosomal RNA", at positions 30 to 504 of the family's 1533-position model. The record is from RNAcentral.